RNAcentral lists this ribosomal RNA (435 nucleotides) under uncultured bacterium. Its description in RNAcentral is "bacterial SSU rRNA". It matches the Rfam family "Bacterial small subunit ribosomal RNA", at positions 29 to 507 of the family's 1533-position model. The record is from RNAcentral.
AGCGAACGCUGGCGGCAUGCCUAACACAUGCAAGUCGAGCGCUCCCAGCAAUGGGGGAGCGGCGGACGGGUGAGUAACGCGUAGGAACGUAUCCUGAGGUGGGGGAUAACCCUGGGAAACUAGGGCUAAUACCGCAUGAUGGCGAGAGCCCAAAGAUUUAUCGCCUUGGGAGCGGCCUGCGUCUGAUUAGCUUGUUGGUGGGGUAACGGCCUACCAAGGCGAUGAUCAGUAGCUGGUCUGAGAGGAUGAUCAGCCACACUGGGACUGAGACACGGCCCAGACUCCUACGGGAGGCAGCAGUGGGGAAUAUUGGACAAUGGGCGAAAGCCUGAUCCAGCAAUGCCGCGUGGAUGAAGAAGGUCUUCGGAUUGUAAAAUUCUUUCACCGGGGAAGAUAAUGACGGUACCCGGAGAAGAAGCCCCGGCUAACUUCGUG